UAGUGGUGUUUAUUGUUGUUGUAGUAGCUUUUACUUUUGUAUCGUGUUGUAUUAUCAUUUUGUUUGUUAUUAUUAGUAUUAGGUUUAAUGUUUAUUAACGUUUUGUUUGUAUUUUCCAGUUUUGUGUUCAUAGCAGAGUUCGAGCAGGAGACGGUCGUGGAGUUUUGGCUUAUUUCGCCAAAAUAUUGCGUCGAGGGCACCCGGGGGAAAUGCCAGUCAGCCUCUCUUUUAAAAGUUGACGCAUACUGGAUUGGCGUUUCUCUUGUGUUGGCAAUCCUUGGUGUCGUGAGUGCCGGCACAUUUCAUACAGGCGACCUGACCAUGGCAGUAGUUCCUUGUAUGUCCGAACGCCUGGCAUUUGUGGCACUGUGCCGGGGUCAGGCGCCUGUGGAAUUUUUCAAUUCUCACUUGGUAAGGGCCUAGAAGUUUUAGAGUGCGUCAUUGCGGCUGAGUGGUCUUCAUUGGAGUAGCAGGUUUAGGUUUUCUAAUUGGGCGAGCAGCGGGCCAACGUCUGGGAUGCGGGAGAUCCAGAUGUCCGGAAUCCUCUCGCUUCGAUGACCGCUGUGAUCAGAAGCAGAACGGCCGUCAUUUACGGAUUGCUCGUCUCUCCUCUCACCUUGGUUGCACGUCGCAAUGGAGCUAGUCGUAGUAUUUAAUUUUAUUUUUGACUCUGUAUUUGUUUUAUUAGUUUUAGUUAUA
RNA transcript from Drosophila willistoni, 699 nucleotides. RefSeq lists it as uncharacterized. NCBI's taxonomy places the organism in Eukaryota, Metazoa, Arthropoda, Insecta, Diptera, Drosophilidae. The record is from RefSeq and is a predicted model, not a curated record. The transcript is spliced from 4 exons.